AUUAGUGGCGAACGGGUGAGUAACACGUGAGUAACCUGCCCUUGACUCUGGGAUAAGCACUGGAAACGGUGUCUAAUACCGGAUAUGACCAUCAGGUGCAUGUUUGAUGGUGGAAAGUUUUUCGGCUAGGGAUGGGCCCGCGGCCUAUCAGCUUGUUGGUGGGGUAAUGGCCCACCAAGGCGACGACGGGUAGCCGGCCUGAGAGGGCGAUCGGCCACACUGGGACUGAGACACGGCCCAGACUCCUACGGGAGGCAGCAGUGGGGAAUAUUGCGCAAUGGGCGAAAGCCUGACGCAGCGACGCCGCGUGAGGGAUGAAGGCCUUCGGGUUGUAAACCUCUUUCAGCAGGGACGAAGCGCAAGUGACGGUACCUGCAGAAGAAGCACCGGCCAACUACGUGCCAGCAGCCGCGGUAAUACGUAGGGUGCAAGCGUUGUCCGGAAUUAUUGGGCGUAAAGAGCUCGUAGGCGG
RNAcentral lists this ribosomal RNA (472 nucleotides) under uncultured Actinomycetales bacterium. RNAcentral's name for it is "bacterial SSU rRNA". It matches the Rfam family "Bacterial small subunit ribosomal RNA", at positions 91 to 578 of the family's 1533-position model. Lineage: Bacteria; Bacillati; Actinomycetota; Actinomycetes; Actinomycetales. The record is from RNAcentral.